AUUGAACGCUGGCGGCAUGCCUUACACAUGCAAAUCGAACGGUAACGGGCCUUCGGGUGCCGACGAGUGGCGAACGGGUGAGUAAUACAUCGGAACGUGCCCGAUCGUGGGGGGUAACGAGGCGAAAGCUUUGCUAAUACCGCAUACGAUCUACGGAUGAAAGCAGGGGACCGCAAGACCUUGCGCGGACGGAGCGGCCGAUGGCAGAUUAGGUAGUUGGUGGGAUAAAAGCUUACCAAGCCGACGAUCUGUAGCUGGUCUGAGAGGAUGAUCAGCCACACUGGGACUGAGACACGGCCCAGACUCCUACGGGAGGCAGCAGUGGGGAAUUUUGGACAAUGGGCGCAAGCCUGAUCCAGCCAUGCCGCGUGCAGGAUGAAGGCCUUCGGGUUGUAAACUGAUUUUGUACGGAACGAAAAGCCUUCUUUUAAUACAGGAGGGUCAUGACGGUACCGUAAGAAUAAGCACCGGCUAACUACGUG
This 482-nucleotide ribosomal RNA is filed under the name uncultured bacterium. Its description in RNAcentral is "partial 16S ribosomal RNA". It matches the Rfam family "Bacterial small subunit ribosomal RNA", at positions 30 to 507 of the family's 1533-position model. The record is from RNAcentral.